UACAUUUGAUUCGCUUUAUGGUAUCUGAAUAAUGUCGCCUUAGGCGGAGUUCUGUGAGCACAGUGAAUGGCUGGGGGAUGUGUCAAUCUUGCGCUGCACCUGCAGCCAGCUCCCCCUCUCAACUCCCGCCCCAGCUCCCAUCAGCCAAUGGAUAGCCUCGACCUCUGACAUCAGCUGUGAUUGUCUUGGAGAAGGAAAAAAAAUGCAGCGUCAGAAGAACUAUGGAUAAGGAAACACAGUUAUGAUAAGGAAACACUGCAGCAUGUCUGAACGACCGAAGUCAUGGUCGAUGUCGAAGGGGAAUGACCUUCUGUGGGGUUCACUGCUCGAGGAUCUUAAGCUCUAGACCACUAGACGCAAAGUUCACCCGUGAGAAUGUGACGGACUAGCGUUACCAGUGUCUCACAGCGAUACCAGUGCCUCUCACCCCACCCGUUACAGUUGCUUCAGGAAGAUGGAGAUCCUUGCAGUUUAGGCUAAUAAAUAAAGUCAGUGGACUUGCAGUUAUCUCCAGAACAUGAACCUGCACUGAGAAGGGGAAGCGGCGCCCGCGCCGUGCAACCUCCUGAGAUCCCCACCACUGAGGGAUGGACCACUAGCCUCACCAGGACCGCCAGAGGAAGCGACCGUCUCCUGCCCCACCAUGUUCUUGAGCAGGAUGGUGUAGACGCCCGUGUCUGAGCGCUCGGACAUGGGGAUGAGGAGCUGGGAGCCACUGUCUGAGUUGGUGAUGGUCACGUGUUUGGACACGGGAACACCAUCCUUC
Long non-coding RNA from Gadus macrocephalus (Pacific cod), 766 nucleotides. RefSeq lists it as uncharacterized. The record is from RefSeq and is a predicted model, not a curated record. Lineage: Eukaryota; Metazoa; Chordata; Actinopteri; Gadiformes; Gadidae. The transcript has 3 exons.